CUACGGGGUGCUCCAGUGGGGAAUAUUGGACAAUGGGGGAAACCCUGAUCCAGCAAUGCCGCGUGUGUGAAGAAGGCCUGCGGGUUGUAAAGCACUUUCGGUUGGGAGGACUGCUUCUAGCACUAAUAUUGUUGGAAGUUGACGUUACCUUCAGAAGAAGCACCGGCUAACUCCGUGCCAGCAGCCGCGGUAAUACGGAGGGGUGCAAGCGUUAAUCGGAAUUACUGGGCGUAAAGCGCGCGUAGGCGGCUAGAUCAGUCGGGUGUGAAAGCCCCGGGCUUAACCUGGGAACUGCAUCCGAUACUGUCUAGCUUGAGUACAGGAGAGGAGAGUGGAAUUCCACAUGUAGCGGUGAAAUGCGUAGAUAUGUGGAGGAACACCAAUGGCGAAGGCAGCUCUCUGGCCUGAUACUGACGCUGAGGUGCGAAAGCGUGGGGAGCAAACAGGAUUAGAUACCCUAGUAGUC
This 466-nucleotide ribosomal RNA is filed under the name uncultured bacterium. RNAcentral describes it as "partial 16S ribosomal RNA". It matches the Rfam family "Bacterial small subunit ribosomal RNA", at positions 339 to 795 of the family's 1533-position model. The record is from RNAcentral.